GGAGAGAUAGCUCAAUGGUAGAGCAAGAAAAUAAAGAGUCUAGACAUAGGCUCUUCCAGCAAUUUAACAGGGAUAAAAAGACGUAGGUUCGAUUCCUACUCUCUCCA
RNAcentral lists this transfer RNA (107 nucleotides) under Faecalibacillus intestinalis. RNAcentral describes it as "tRNA-OTHER". It matches the Rfam family "tRNA". From Rfam's summary of the family: Transfer RNA (tRNA) molecules are approximately 80 nucleotides in length. Their secondary structure includes four short double-helical elements and three loops (D, anti-codon, and T loops). Further hydrogen bonds mediate the characteristic L-shaped molecular structure. tRNAs have two regions of fundamental functional importance: the anti-codon, which is responsible for specific mRNA codon recognition, and the 3' end, to which the tRNAs corresponding amino acid is attached (by aminoacyl-tRNA synthetases). tRNAs cope with the degeneracy of the genetic code in two manners: having more than one tRNA (with a specific anti-codon) for a particular amino acid; and 'wobble' base-pairing, i.e. permitting non-standard base-pairing at the 3rd anti-codon position. RNAcentral also lists the same sequence under 1 other name. The record is from RNAcentral. Lineage: Bacteria; Bacillati; Bacillota; Erysipelotrichia; Erysipelotrichales; Coprobacillaceae.